Molecule: ribosomal RNA, 329 nt
Filed under: uncultured Butyrivibrio sp.
Lineage: Bacteria; Bacillati; Bacillota; Clostridia; Lachnospirales; Lachnospiraceae
Description: bacterial SSU rRNA
Rfam family: Bacterial small subunit ribosomal RNA
Source: RNAcentral
GAUGAACGCUGGCGGCGUGCCUAACACAUGCAAGUCGAACGGACCCAUGGAAAAGAUUAGCUUGCUAUGAUUUUCCGGAAGGUUAGUGGCGGACGGGUGAGUAACGCGUGGGUAACCUGCCUCAUACAGGGGGAUAGCAGUUGGAAACGACUGGUAAUACCGCAUAAGCGCACAGUACCGCAUGGUACAGUGUGAAAAGCUCCGGUGGUAUGAGAUGGACCCGCGUCCGAUUAGCCAGUUGGCGGGGUAACGGCCCACCAAGGCUACGAUCAGUAGGGGUUCUGAGAGGAAGGUCCCCCACAUUGGAACUGAGACACGGUCCAAACUCC